CAAACGGAGAGUUUGAUCCUGGCUCAGGACGAACGCUGGCGGCGUGCUUAACACAUGCAAGUCGAACGGGAGUACUUUGAAAGCUUGCUGAUAAGUACUUUAGUGGCGGACGGGUGAGU
This 119-nucleotide ribosomal RNA is filed under the name Synergistaceae bacterium. RNAcentral's name for it is "partial 16S ribosomal RNA". It matches the Rfam family "Bacterial small subunit ribosomal RNA", at positions 1 to 111 of the family's 1533-position model. The record is from RNAcentral. Lineage: Bacteria; Thermotogati; Synergistota; Synergistia; Synergistales; Synergistaceae.